UUGGGCGUAAAGCGCGCGCAGGCGGAUUGGUCAGUCUGUCUUAAAAGUUCGGGGCUUAACCCCGUGAUGGGAUGGAAACUGCCAAUCUAGAGUAUCGGAGAGGAAAGUGGAAUUCCUAGUGUAGCGGUGAAAUGCGUAGAUAUUAGGAAGAACACCAGUGGCGAAGGCGACUUUCUGGACGAAAACUGACGCUGAGGCGCGAAAGCCAGGGGAGCGAACGGGAUUAGAUACCCCGGUAGUCCUGGCCGUAAACGAUGGGUACUAGGUGUAGGAGGUAUCGACCCCUUCUGUGCCGGAGUUAACGCAAUAAGUACCCCGCCUGGGGAGUACGACCGCAAGGUUGAAACUCAAAGGAAUUGACGGGGGCCCGCACAAGCGGUGGAGUAUGUGGUUUAAUUCGACGCAACGCGAAGAACCUUACCAGGUCUUGACAUUGAUGGACAGAACUAGAGAUAGUUCCUCUUCUUCGGAAGCCAGAAAACAGGUGGUGCACGGUUGUCGUCAGCUCGUGUCGUGAG
This 518-nucleotide ribosomal RNA is filed under the name uncultured bacterium. Its description in RNAcentral is "bacterial SSU rRNA". It matches the Rfam family "Bacterial small subunit ribosomal RNA", at positions 554 to 1071 of the family's 1533-position model. The record is from RNAcentral.